CACAUAGGAGAAAGUUCUUAAUGUUAUAUAAGCAUGAACUUCUCUUAAUCAUGUACACAUAUUUUAAAACGGUGAAGACCCUUUAGGUUCAAAGGGAACAAGUGUUUGUGCAGGGGGAACAGGCCCUUAUAUUCCAUGUACUUUGUCAUGUUUUUAUAAUAAGAUCAUAGAAAUUAACAAUUGGGUUGAUGCACAGUUGGUGAACCAUGGAGUCAGUUCUUCCCUUGUGGAGAACCUGAAACAUGAGAUUGUAGAAUUUUACAAGCUUCCCUUGGAAGAGAAGAUGAAAUAUAAGAUGCCAGGUGAUGCUGAAGGAUAUGGGCCGUCUAUAAGAUCAGAAGAUCAAAAACUUGACUGGGCUGAUAGGUUUUACAUGAUAACCAAGCCUAUUCAUAGAAGGAAGCCACAUCUAUUGCCACAGCUCCCUCCAUCACUAAGGUUCUCCUGAUCCCUCUUCUGAUUCUUCUUCAGAGAUACUUAAUUCUUGUUCUUCUACCAGCCAUGUAUAUAAAUUUUUUCUCUUGAUCACUGCAGGGAUAACUUGGAACUGUACAUAUCAGAGUCGCAGAAACUCGCCAUGAGACUUCUAGGGUUGAUGGCUAGAGCUAUAAAGUUGGACAAGAGAGAGAUGGAAGAGUUGUUUGAUGAUGGAAGGCAGGAAGUGAGGAUGACUUACUAUCCUCCAUGUCCACAAUCAGAGAUGGUUAUGGGCAUUGCGCCUCACUCCGAUCCUACAGGCAUCACCAUCCUUCUCCAAGUUAAUGAAGUGGAUGGUCUCCAGAUAAAGAAAGAUGGGGUUUGGAUUCCUGUAAACCUCCUCCAAGAUGCACUUGUAGUUAAUGUGGGAGACAUCCUGGAGGUUUCCCCCUCCUUAUUCUUUUACUAGAAUUUGCUUCUCUUUUUUGGCUACACAGUAGUGAUCCUCGCUUUUUAAUUUGCAGAUUGUGAGCAAUGGGAUGUAUACUAGCAUUGAGCAUAGGGCAACUGUAAAUAGUACAAAAGAGAGGAUCUCUAUUGCCAUGUUUUUCAGCCCCAAAUUUUCAGCUGAGAUUGGACCCGCUCCUGGUUUGAUAACUCCUCAAAACCCCCCAGUGUUCAAACGAAUAGGCAUGGAAAAAUACUACCAAGAUUUCUUCUCUCGCAAGCUGGAUGGGAAAUCUAACCUGGAGCAUAUGAAGAUAAAAAAAUGAGACAAACAAUGGAUGAAUGAUUAGUACAGAAUGAAAUGGUUUGGGACAAAUUAGGCAGUUGAUUUGGCACACGAUGUGUGAUAAUAGGGCUAACAUGCUAGCAGUUGGCAGGCGCUGACAUGGAGGGCGACAUGUACCUGCGUUUACGGUGAACUUCUUUUUAUUAUUUAUUUUGAUAUUAAAAAAAAUAUAUUUUGUAUUUAUUUGAAGUGUUGAAAUCUAUGAAUCAAUGAUGAGUUCUAGGUUAGGCUCUAUAGGAAAGUCGCUAGACACCAUGGACGAAAGUGAAUCGACUAUCCCUUUGCGAGUCACGUUAGGAAACGCUUUUAAUUUAAAGAAUAUUUUUGUUAGGAGUCACAUUUCAAAAUAUAAAAAAUUACUUAUAUAAUAUUUUUUUUUUUAAGAAAUAUAAUGAUUUUUCGAAAUAUAUAUAUUUUUAAAGAAAACACUUUUAUUAAAAAUAUUUAAAAAAAAACAUUAUUAAACAUAUUCUUAAUUUUUACUAAAAGUUUGUUUGACAGUAAUUUAAAAUAACGUUUUUGAUUUAAAAAGUGUAUUUUUUAAAUACAAAUAUAUAUUUGAUAAAAUUUAAGAAGUACUUAAAAAAAUAUUAAAAUCACUUGUAAGAUUGAAAAAUCAUUUAUACAUUUUUUGAAAGAACACUUUAUAAAUUUUUUUUAAAAAAAACACUUCGAACGUGUUUAACAGUGAUUUUAAGAAAUAUUUUUAAUAUUUUUAAUACAAAAUUUUAUCAUUCAAGUAUUAAAAAUGUUAGAAACACUUCUUAGAGUCGUUAUCAAACACACUUUUGUAAUAUCUAGUAAAUACACACUAAGUAAAUUGAGAAAUUAUGAUAUUUAAUGGAUCGACCGAUGGUAGAAUGUAAAAGAAAAUAGUGUAAUUAACAUGGUGUGUUCCUUACAAAUGAACCUAAAUAAAUGGAAAAUAUGAGAAUCGCACGAAUGAUGUCCAAAAUCUGUCCAUAGGGAACGAUCCAUUUAUCAUUUGGUCGCCAAGAGGUUUUUCAAGUUUUUACAAUCCAUUAGCAUCCAAAUAAAAACUGAAUUCUAGCAGCUCAGAAUUUCCUAAACUGCAAUUUGCUUCGGUGUCUUCCCCGAAGCAUUCUCUCCAGAACUCUUAGCAAAAUAUUCUCAAAUCCUUAGAAAGAAAGUCUCGUGAAUCCUCCCACUCACUGUUCUAAUCAUACGCCCCCCUCCCUGGAUGGAAGCAUGGAAAACCAGAACAGGAAAAGAAUGGAGGGCUGCGUCUAAUUGAUCUCGGGCCAAUCUUUAUUCUAAUUUCUGGUGCAUUGAAAUUGAAAUUUCGGUUCUGAGAACCCAUAAUUCAGUUUGGCUGCUAAAAUAUGAAAUCAACGUUCAAAAUGAUUUUAGAUGAGAAACUGAUUUAGAAGCAAGUUUGAGACACUCCAAGCCAAAAAAAAAGAAAAUCGAUUUAACGCCCUCAGAAAUCGAUUGGAAAUCAAUUUGAGAUCCGAAAAUCCAUCUAGAACAAUUGUAUUUCAAUUUCUACCAUGCAGAAUUGAAAUUUUCAAAAUUUUCCCCCUUAAAUUGGUUUGAAACUAGCCUUUGAUAUUUGUGCAUGCAACCUUUGUCCAACUUUAUCCAUCCUAGUAUCUCAACACAUUGUUGAGGACUCAUGAGGUCAUCUUUGCAUAGUAAAUACACCUUUUAAUGCAUGGCACUGUAAAACAAUAGAAUGAGAAAAAUCAAGACUUCACAUCAAAUCAAGUACAAGGGAUAUAUCCAUGAGUAGAUACAUACAUAAGUGAGAAAGUACUUAUUGUUGAUUUUGAGCCAACUAGAGUCAGGUCCAUUCAACUGUAUGAUAGUUAGACAACCCUCCUCCCUUCUUUGUGCCACUCAAAGAGUCCGCCUAACAAUAAUAAAAUUGGAUGGACUCAUUUCUUGCACAAAAAAGGAUGUCAGGACGGGUGGUCUAGGUAUGCCCCUCUAAAGUUUAAGUCUGGUAAGAAUAGCUCAUGUUGUUUAGUGAGAGAGAGUGAAUAGGUGUAUGUGUGUGUACCUUGUUUGUGCUUUUUGGAGGGUUUAUAUAGUGCUGAUGAGAAUGUCACUGUAGUGCUGGCUAGGCACUAUGACUUUCUUCUAUAAUGAUGAUUGUCUAGCAGACGGUUGGGCAAUCAUCACAGUUUUGGGUGGUUGGCAAUGCCAUCAACUGACGUGCCAGGAUCUUAGACUGUGCAGUCGCCUGUCCUCUCAGCCUGUUGAUAGUCUAGGGUUAUGUGCAGUAAUUAAUUGACAUGAACUUGAGGGCUAGACAAGGUCACAUCAGUUGUUCACAUGUCAAGUGUGAAUGAUUACGCAUGCCAGUGGGUCUUGAAGACUCGACUGGACAGUCCUACUUGUUUGGGGGGUCCGGUCUCUCCUUGUCGUCUGGCCCUAUAAGGAAAAAUGGUCUUCUCAGGCCCGAUGCCAAGCGGAACUAGGUGUAAUCCAAACAGAAUGAUCUAGGUCGGAAAAAAGGACAUGUGGAGGGGAGCCCCCUACAACGCCCUCUUAACCCGUCUACCUAUGUUAGGGCAGAGGUGGAAUGGGUUCCGUGUCUCUUCAAGUUAUCUAAGCAUUUUUGGGACACGUGUCACUUGGGGAAUCAAUGAUGGGCUGCGUUCAUCGAGGCCACCUAUUAUGCGAUUGAUUACUACUCAAAACAUGCUAUUUUGUAGCUUGUAAUUAGUUCUUUUAAACACCCUUGAGUAGUAAUUAUUACCUUUUAACCCAAUUAACAUGUUAGGGACCCUUGCAAUCGUUUCUAACAAUUGUGUUAAGUUUUGGUGCUUUUUGAUAGCUUUAUGCUCACUAAAGCAAUUUAAGAAUGAGGGAGAGCUAUUUAUAGUUCAUGGAAAAGCUUUUGAAAGCUUAAAUUUAUGAAGAAAUCAAGCUAUGGAGCCUCAUAACCCUUUGCCUUAUUCGUUCAAAGUAUACAAGGAAGAAACAAUGGAGAAGAGGAAAACAGGGGAUGAAAAUAGGGGACACAGCUGCAGUCUUUCAUCACACUUUUGGAGCACUUCCCGAAGUCCAUUUUUUACAUUCUAUAUACCAUUUCAAAGCUCAGAAAGUCAAGAAUCCAACGGUUUAAACCAUGUACAAUUUGGAUCUGAAAUGAGAAAGAUAUGGCCUUCGGAACACAACUGCAUCAAGCUGAGGGACAAUUUCGCACACCACUGUGCAAGGUGCGAAUUCCUCAGUCCACUGUGCGAGAAUUUCGCACACCUCAAAUCAAGGUGCGAAAUUGGAACUCCAGCGUGCGAAAAUUGGAUAUUUUUGCCGACUCUUUUUCUUCUGAUAUUUUUGUGUCUAAAUUUCCAUUUUCUCCUUGUAUUCAACCACUCAUGUAAUUCCUUAGCUAGGAAGUAUCCAAGGAAGGGUAAAAUUACCUUCCUAUAUAAAUUCUCUUGUAAUCACUGAAAAGUAUCUUCGGAGCUUUCUCUAGGAGACCAACUGAUGUAAAUUUGAUACUUAGUGAAAUACAGAGAUCUCUUUUGCUUUCUUUUUCUCUCUUCUAUUUUCUCUUUUCUUGCAAGCCAAACACCCUCUGAGGAUGUUUUCCCAGAGGAUGAGAGGCUAAGCAUUUAGUUUCUUGGAGUAAAGGAAGCUAGGUGAAAAGUCUAGAUUAAAAGGUGGAAAGUUUCCGUGCAUUAAAUUCAGGUAGUUGGAGUCCAUAAAUGGCUUUUAAAGCCAAGGUUUUGCCUUAAAUCCCUUAGAAUCACUUUGACUGGCCAAUACAUGGUAAGCUUAAGGUCUCUGUGGAUGCUUAUUGCUAGAUCCAUAUCAAUCCAUUAGUUAUCAUGUACGAGCCAUUGGAAAGUGAUUCAAGGUGAUAGCCCAUAGUGUCUUAAGCCAUUAAUGGACCUUGACUACCAUCUCUAGUGACUUUUUAUGGAUUAAAACUUCAUUGUCAAACCUAUACCGGUUCGGGAAAUAACUAUAGGUUAAAUCCCCAAUGCGAGGAGAAAAAUCCGGAAUUUUCCACUUUGCAUCUGGAACUUGAACCUAGCAACCUUUAGCUCCGGGAGACUUUCUUUCUUCCACUUUUUACUUAGUUCUAUGUGAGUUUAGUUUAAAUCACCACUUUCAAAACAAUUUUAUGUUCUUUUAAAUUUCAAGUUUGUGCUAAAGGAAAUCAUCAGAAUCAAUUUCUAAUUUAGAGUCUGUCACUGAUAGAGUGAAAACCCAUCCCUGAGUUCGACCCUAGAACUGCUAUACUAUAGUAGCUUUGCUACGCCAGUAUAAGGUCAUAGGUUUUAUAAAUGUUUUUGAUUAAAAGACCCGGCUGGGCAUCGAAUCAAAUGGCGUCGUUGCCGGGGAUGGUGCCACAAUACAGUAAUACAACCUUUUAGAGGCUACUUGUGAUUUUCAUCACAACCAGGGUGAAUUCCUUUUUCACUAAUUUCAUUUUCUUUCAUUUUCCUUUUGUUAAUUUUAUUUUCUUUUUCUUCCUAACUUUAACCUUUUCUUUAGUUUUCUUUUUGUUUUUAUUAUUACAGGAAUUGUAACUUGUGCAUGCCCUAUUGGAUUAGGGACCAAGAGGGAAGAUUAGUAAGGAUUGAGAAUCCUCAAGACACAGAGUUGGAUAUCUGUGUAAAUAUCAUGGACCCUCCACUAGAGGAUCAGAAUUCUCAACAAGGUCAAGGGGGUAAUCCCAAUGCAUACCUAUCCAUGAGGGAUAGAAUGCAUCCACCAAGGAUGAGUGCACCCUCAUGCAUCCUACCCCCUCUUGAGCAGUUAGUUAUAAGGCCCCAUAUUGUGCCCCUCCUACCAAAUUUCCAUGGAAUGGAGAGUGAGAAUCCAUAUGCUCACAUCAAGGAGUUUGAGGAGGUGUGUAAUACCUUUAGAGAGGGAGGAGCUUCAAUAGACUUGAUGAGACUCAAGCUAUUCCCUUUCACUUUGAAGGACAAGGCAAAAAUAUGGCUUAAUUCUUUAAGGCCAAGAAGCAUAAGGAAUUGGGUUGAUCUUCAGGCUGAGUUUUUGAAAAAAAUUUUCCCCACUCAUAGGACCAAUGGGUUGAAGAGACAAAUCUCAAAUUUUUCUGCUAAAGAAAAUGAGAAGUUCCAUGAAUGUUGGGAAAGGUAUAUGGAGGCCAUCAAUGCUUGUCCUCAUCAUGGUUUUGAUACAUGGCUCUUAGUGAGCUAUUUUUAUGAUGGAAUGUCUUCUUCCAUGAAGCAAAUUCUUGAAACCAUGUGUGGGGGAGAUUUUAUGAGUAAGAAUCCUGAAGAAGCCAUGGACUUUUUAAGUUACGUGGCUGAGGUGUCAAGAGGAUGGGAUGAGCCCAACUCAAGAGAGAAAGGAAAGUUUCCCUCUCAACAAACCCAAAAUCCAAAGGCUGGAAUGUACAUGUUAAGUGAAGACGUGGACAUAAAAGCUAAAGUGGCAACAAUAGCUAGGAGGUUGGAAGAACUUGAAUUGAAAAAAAUACAUGAAGUCCAAGCCAUUUCCAAAACGCAAGUCCAUGUUAUGCCAUGCACCAUUUGCCAAUCAUGUGAUCAUGUGGUAGAUGAGUGUCCAACCAUGCCAGCUGUGAGAGAGAUGUUAGGUGAUCAAGUAAAUGUUGUGGGGCAAUUUAGGCCCAACAAUAGUGCAUCUCAUGGAAACACCUAUAAUUCAAGCUGGAGAAACCACCCAAAUUUUUCUUGGAAACCAAGGCCACCUCCAUACCAACCACAAGGCCAAACCCAAGUACCUCAACAACCAUCUUCAGUGGAGCAAGCCAUUGUAAACCUGAGUAAAGUCAUGGGUGACUUUGUGGGUGAACAAAAGGCAAUUAACUCCCAAUUGCAUCAAAAGAUUGAAAAUGUUGAGAGUUCUCAAAUAAAGAGAAUGGAGGGGAUGCAAAAUGAUCUAUCUCAGAAGAUAGAUAAUAUUCAGUACUCCAUCUCUAGGCUUACCAACCUAAACACAGUGAUUGAGAAGGGAAAGUUCCCCUCUCAACCAAGCCAAAAUCCCAAGGGUGUUCAUGAAGUUGAAACCCAAGAUGGUGAGUCUUCAAAUUUGAGGGAGGUUAGAGCUGUGAUCACUUUAAGGAGUGGAAAAGAGGUUGAUCAACCCCUGCCUAAGGUGGGGCAUGAUGAAGAACUCAUAUCAAAGAGACCCUUGAUUAAAGAGGGCAAUAACCAGGAAGAGAAGAGUGGGAAGAAGAGUGCAUCCAAAUCAAGCAUCGAGGAAGAACCAAGGAUAGUGAUUAAGGAGGAUAUGAUGAAGAAACAUAUGCCUCCCCCUUUUCCUCAAGCUUUACAUGGAAAGAAAGAAAUCAAGAAUUCAUCAGAAAUUCUUGAGGUUCUGAGACAAGUGAAGGUGAAUAUACCCUUACUUGAUAUGAUCAAACAAGUCCCCACAUAUGCAAAGUUUCUAAAGGACUUGUGCAUAGUCAAGAGAGGUUUACAGGUGACAAAGAAUGCAUUCCUCACUGAGCAAGUGAGUGCUAUCAUCCAGAGUAAGUCCCCAGUUAAGUAUAAAGAUCCGGGAUGUCCCACCAUAUCAGUCAACAUUGGAGGGACACAUGUGGAAAAAGCUUUAUUAGAUUUGGGAGCAAGUGUGAAUUUGCUCCCAUACUCUGUGUAUAAACAAUUAGGACUAGGAGGAUUGAAGCCCACAACCAUGACCCUCUCCUUAGCUGAUAGGUCGGUCAAAAUCCCAAGAGGAGUGAUAGAGGAUGUUCUAGUUCAAGUGGACAAAUUCUACUAUCCUGUGGAUUUUGUGGUGCUUGAUACUGAUUCCACUGUCAAGGAAGAAAAUUAUGUACCAAUCAUCCUAGGGAGACCUUUCCUAGCUACCUCCAAUGCUAUUGUUAAUUGUAAGAAUGGGGUGAUGCAGCUCACAUUUGGAAACAUGACAUUGGAAUUAAACAUAUUCCAUUUAUGUAAGAGGCAUCUUUACCCUGAUGAGGAGGAAGGAUUUGAGGAGGUGUGCUUGAUCAACACUUUGGUUGAAGAGCACUGUGACAAGAGUUUAGAGGAGAGCUUGAAUGAAAACCUGGAAGUCCUUGAAGAUGGGUUCCUUGAACCCUCUGAUGUGCUAGCCAUUAUGUCUCCUUGGAGGAGACGGGAAGAGAUCUUACCACUGUUCAACCAGAAAGACUCACAAGGAGUUGCUGUGGAGGACCCUCCAAAGCUUAUUUUAAAGCCACUUCCUGUGGGUUUGAAGUAUGCAUACUUGGAGGAUGAUGAGAAAUGUCCAGUGGUAGUUUCCUCAACCCUCACUAGUGAUCAAGAGGAUAGUCUUUUAGGAGUCCUCAGAAAAUGUAAGAAAGCCAUAGGAUGGCAAAUUUCUGAUCUGAAAGGGAUUAGCCCUUUGGUGUGCACCCACCAUAUUUAUAUGGAGGAAGAUGCAAAACCAGUGAGGCAACCCCAAAGGAGACUGAAUCCUCACAUGCAAGAAGUGGUGAGGAAUGAAGUUUUGAAGUGAUUACUACCAAAAAGUGUUAUUUUGUAGACCUAAUUAUAAUGGUUUUAAGCACCUUUGAGUAGUAAUCAUAUUCAUUUAACCCAAUUAAUUCAUUAAGGUCCUUAGUAAUUGGUUUUAACCAUUUUGUGGCAAGUUUACAUGUUUUUAUCAGCUUAUGAAUCGAUUCAAGCAUGCCAAAUGAUGGAGGAGCUACUUGGACAAGUUAAAGCAAGGAUUUUGGACAUUUACAGGCUUGAAUUUCAAGUAGAAACACGAGCACAAGCAAAGAGAAGCAAAGUGGAAAAGCAAACAAUGGAGAAGAGGAAAACAGAGGACAGCAGCUGCAGUCUUCUUUCGCACUUUUGGAGCACUUCUCGAAGUCCAUUUUUUACAUUCUAUAUACCAUUUCAAAGCUCUGGAAGUCAAGAAUCCAACGCUUCAAACCGUGCACGAUUUGGAGUUGAAAUGAGGAAGAUAUGGCCUUCGGAAGCCAACUGCUCCAGCAUAUGCGAAAAUUUCGCAUUCCACAAGAACAUAUGCGAAAUUCGCAUUUGGUUCGCAUUUGGUUCGCAUAACCCAUGCGUGUUGCGAAUUUUGCUCUGCCCUUUGCCGACUCCACUUUAGAUAUUUUCCUUUGUAUUUUGUGAUGUAAUUUCCUUUAUUAUCCUUGUAACUAACCAAUCAUAAGCUUUGGCUUUUGUAAAGACUAUAUAAGGGGUGGAAAUCACCUCUUGAAAAGAUAGACGCAUAUAUACAGACGGAGCCUUGCUCUGUUUUUCUCUCUUCUCCAGCUCUCCCGUUUCUAUUUUCUUAGUAGCCAAAUAGCCUCUAAGGGCUUUUCCUUAGAGGAUGAUUGGCUAAAACUUUUAGUUUCUCAAAGUAGGGAUGUUAUGUGAUGGCUUGGAUGCAAUCCCAUGGAAAUUUCUUGCACUCGGAAGGUAAGGUAGACGUUUUUCAUUAAAGGUUCAUUAAGGCAAAGUUUGGUUUUUAUUUCCUUUGGACAACUUCCAAUGGCCAAUACUUGAUAAGCUUUUGGAUUUCUAUCCAUUAGUUAUCUCCUACGAGCUAUUGGAAGGUGAGGUUUUCAAUUCCAAGUUUUGUAUUAAUCCAUUAGAACCAAUUUCAAAUGGCCAUUGAAAGGUGAGUUUAUCACCUAGAAUGACUUUGAGUUGCCAAUAUUUGGUAAGCUUUUGGCUUUAGACCAUUAGUUAUCUCUUACGAGCCAUUCAAAGGAAGUCUAAGGUGAAUAACCAUUGAUGAAAUUCACUACCAUCUGUUUUGCCAUUUUAAAGGAUUAAAACUUGAUUUGCUAAAUCCAUACCGGUUCGGGAAGCAAGCAUCACCAUAGUUGCAACCCCAACGCGAGGAGCCUAUCCUGAGAUUUCCAAUUUGCAUAAGAGCCAGAGCAUAGCUAUCCUAUCUUUGAGAAACUUGUUUUUACACCCUUUCAUUUUAGUCUUUAAUGUUAGCUUAGAUUAGUUUAAAUCUUUCUGAAAUAUUUACAUCUUUUUUUUAAAGCUAACAGCCAUAAGAAAAUCACCUAUUUUCCUAAAUUAAAUAUCACUUGUGUUUGCGAAAACCCUUCCCAGUGAACGAUCCUAGAACCACUAUGCUAUAGUAGCUUGGCUACUUUAGUAAUAGUAUUCAAGGUAUAAAUUUUGUUGAUACGCCUUUAAAGCUAAGCUACCAUGAGUCGCAUCAAAUGGCGCCGUUGCCGGGGAAGGUGCCACAAGCACAGUGAAGCAACCAUUAAGGGUAACUUGUGAUCUUCAUCACAAGUUUGGUGAGUUUUCUUGUAAUUUUUUUUUUAGUUUAGUUUUAUUUAGUUAAAUUUUUUAUUCUCUUUUCUUUUAUUUUUGUCUUAAUUUCAAUUUGUGCAUUCCUUGUUGGAUUCGAGACCAAGAGGGAACCCUGGUACAAGUUGAAGAAAAGAGCCUUAGUUGAAUAUCAUUUUUUUUAGAAAUGGAAAUUCCACAUGAAGAUCAAAGCUCUCAUUAUGAUCAUGAGAAGGACAAAUUUGCAUACCUAUCCAUGAGGGAUCGGAUUGAAUUAGGGAAAAGGCAAGUUCAACAAAGCCAAUGGGGUAGUAAGUAUGCUUUAAAUGGAGAUGAUUCAUAUGAGCAUACGGUAGGGGAGUGCCCUACCAUUCCAACUAUGAGAGACAUCUACGGUUACCAAAGCUCCUACACCUCAAGUUGGAAUAACCAUCCCAACCUUACAACCCAACCUCAACCUCAACCAUCAAUGAGUACAUCUUCAUUGGAGCAAGCCAUUUUGAAGAUAAGCAAAGUCAUGGAGGACUUUGUAGGUGAGCAACAAAAGAUCAACUCUCAUCUUAAUGAAAAGAUUGAUAAUUUGGAGAGUUCAAUGAAUGUAAGAAUGGAGGGGGUUUAUAAUGAUCUAUCACUAAGGAUAGAAAAAGUUCAAGACUCCAUUGAUAAGCUCACCAAUCUCGACAUAGCAAGGGGGAAAAGGAAGCUUCCUCCUCAACCCCACCAUAACCUUCAAGGAACCAAUGCAAAAAGAUCAAGGAGAGUGUUGAAGAUCGACACUUUGGUGGGGGAUUGCUAUGACAACUUUAUGGACCAACCUUCCAUUGAAAAUCAUAAGGUUCAAGAUGACAAAGGGUUACUUGAACCCUUUAAAGCAUCCACUUCUCCGGGGAAGAGAAGAGAAACGAAUUCCCUUGGACCAAAUGGGAAGGAUGCCAAUUUUGUGUGGGAUCCAGGGGGAAUUCAGCAUGAAGUGGGUGUGUGAGUGAGGAUGAGCUAAAUAGUUCAUCUUCUUUUUGGGGUACAUGCUAUCAGCUUCAUUUAAAUUAUAUGCUUUCUUUAAAUUUAUGCAUGUUUUAGUUUGAAUUCUUAGUUUUAAUAUGUUUUUAAGAUGAGUUUUGAAGUGUUCAUGCAGGUAUGAUGCUUGCAAAAAUCGAAGUUAUGGUGAAAACAAGGGAAAACAGGGGAGAAAAGCCAAAACAGAGCAAUUCGCACCACCCCAUUUCGGCAACUGUUGGGCACAUUUAGAUCACUUCCUGAAACUCAAAUUAUGCAUACGAUAUCUCGUUUCAAAGCUUGGGAAGUCAGGAGUUCAUAGGUUCAAACGGUGCUUGAUUUGGAGCUGAAACGAAGAAGUUAUGGCCGUUUGAAGAUGACUGUGCAAAGCUAAACGGGAAUGUUGCAGCCGCACCCCAUUUUGCUACUGUUGGACACGUUUUUGGAGCACUUUCUGGAGCUCAAAUUAUGCAUACCAUAUCUCUUUUUGAAGCUUAGGAAUUCAGGAGUCCAGUGCUUCAAACGGUGUGCGAUUUGGAUUUGAAACGAAGAAGUUAUCACCAUUUGAAAGAAUCCAAUUUUGCAUUUGGGCGUGUGAAUAGUGCAAAUGCGAAAAUUUCGCAUUCCACCAUGUGAAUAGUGCAAAUGCGAAAUUCGCAUUACCUUUCCCCCUUGUGCGAAAUUUUCGCAUAACACCCCCUUGUGCGAAUUUUUAAGUUUCCCCUGUUUUUAGCCAAAAAUCUCCAAUUUUAACACCCCUGUAAGCUACAUUCAAAUGUCAUUGCAACUUAUAUCAGUAUACCAUCAUGGCAUGGAGCCUUUGAGCCUUGUCCUCAGCUACUCAAAGUGGGGCCCACUCAUCAUUUUUGUAAAUAUUUAGUAUAAAUUCCUCUCUCAUUCAAUUUUUGAAUUUUGAAAUAGGUGGUUCAACCUUCUCAACUCCAAGUCCACAUCACAUGAGGUACCACUUCCUUCCUCCUUAUUUUCGAUUCAAACAUUGAGGACAAUGUUCAUCUCGGUUGGGGGGAGAGAUGAGGAAGUAAGUAUUAGUUUAAAUUUUUAUCUUACUUAGUUAAAUUAGCUAAUUUUUGUUUAAAUUUUAAAAUUUUUGCUUUAAACUCCAUGGAUAUUAAGGAUUAACUCUCAAAAUUAAAUGAGAGAAGUCGAGUUUCAACUUGAUUACAUGAGUCUUAGAGUUUGUAUUAUGCUCUUCUAAAAGUUGAUGAAUUGUUGAAACUCCCAUUGCAUGCAAACUUAUCUCUUCCACCUUAAGCUAUUCGCACACACAUACAUUAGAUUCCGGUUANNNNNNNNNNNNNNNNNNNNNNNNNNNNNNNNNNNNNNNNNNNNNNNNNNNNNNNNNNNNNNNNNNNNNNNNNNNNNNNNNNNNNNNNNNNNNNNNNNNNNNNNNNNNNNNNNNNNNNNNNNNNNNNNNNNNNNNNNNNNNNNNNNNNNNNNNNNNNNNNNNNNNNNNNNNNNNNNNNNNNNNNNNNNNNNNNNNNNNNNNNNNNNNNNNNNNNNNNNNNNNNNNNNNNNNNNNNNNNNNNNNNNNNNNNNNNNNNNNNNNNNNNNNNNNNNNNNNNNNNNNNNNNNNNNNNNNNNNNNNNNNNNNNNNNNNNNNNNNNNNNNNNNNNNNNNNNNNNNNNNNNNNNNNNNNNNNNNNNNNNNNNNNNNNNNNNNNNNNNNNNNNNNNNNNNNNNNNNNNNNNNNNNNNNNNNNNNNNNNNNNNNNNNNNNNNNNNNNNNNNNNNNNNNNNNNNNNNNNNNNNNNNNNNNNNNNNNNNNNNNNNNNNNNNNNNNNNNNNNNNNNNNNNNNNNNNNNNNNNNNNNNNNNNNNNNNNNNNNNNNNNNNNNNNNNNNNNNNNNNNNNNNNNNNNNNNNNNNNNNNNNNNNNNNNNNNNNNNNNNNNNNNNNNNNNNNNNNNNNNNNNNNNNNNNNNNNNNNNNNNNNNNNNNNNNNNNNNNNNNNNNNNNNNNNNNNNNNNNNNNNNNNNNNNNNNNNNNNNNNNNNNNNNNNNNNNNNNNNNNNNNNNNNNNNNNNNNNNNNNNNNNNNNNNNNUUGAGUAGUAAUCAUAUUCAUUUAACCCAAUUAAUUCAUUAAGGUNUUAGUAAUUGGUUUUAACCAUUUUGUGGCAAGUUUACAUGUUUUUAUCAGCUUAUGAAUCGAUUCAAGCAUGCCAAAUGAUGGAGGAGCUACUUGGACAAGUUAAAGCAAGGAUUUUGGACAUUUACAGGCUUGAAUUUCAAGUAGAAACACGAGCACAAGCAAAGAGAAGCAAAGUGGAAAAGCAAACAAUGGAGAAGAGGAAAACAGAGGACAGCAGCUGCAGUCUUCUUUCGCACUUUUGGAGCACUUCCCGAAGUCCAUUUUUUACAUUCUAUAUACCAUUUCAAAGCUCUGGAAGUCAAGAAUCCAACGCUUCAAACCGUGCACGAUUUGGAGUUGAAAUGAGGAAGAUAUGGCCUUCGGAAGCCAACUGCUCCAGCAUAUGCGAAAAUUUCGCAUUCCACAAGAGCAUAUGCGAAAUUUGCAUUUGGUUCGCAUUUGGUUCGCAUAACCCAUGCGUGUUGCGAAUUUUGCUCUGCCCUUUGCCGACUCCACUUUAGAUAUUUUCCUUUGUAUUUUGUGAUGUAAUUUCCUUUAUUAUCCUUGUAACUAACCAAUCAUAAGCUUUGGCUUUUGUAAAGACUAUAUAAGGGGUGGAAAUCACCUCUUGAAAAGAUAGACGCAUAUAUAUAGACGGAGCCUUGCUCUGUUUUUCUCUCUUCUCCAGCUCUCCCGUUUCUAUUUUCUUAGUAGCCAAAUAGCCUCUAAGGGCUUUUCCUUAGAGGAUGAUUGGCUAAAACUUUUAGUUUCUCAAAGUAGGGAUGUUAUGUGAUGGCUUGGAUGCAAUCCCAUGGAAAUUUCUUGCACUCGGAAGGUAAGGUAGACGUUUUUCAUUAAAGGUUCAUUAAGGCAAAGUUUGGUUUUUAUUUCCUUUGGACAACUUCCAAUGGCCAAUACUUGAUAAGCUUUUGGAUUUCUAUCCAUUAGUUAUCUCCUACGAGCUAUUGGAAGGUGAGGUUUUCAAUUCCAAGUUUUGUAUUAAUCCAUUAGAACCAAUUUCAAAUGGCCAUUGAAAGGUGAGUUUAUCACCUAGAAUGACUUUGAGUUGCCAAUAUUUGGUAAGCUUUUGGCUUUAGACCAUUAGUUAUCUCUUACGAGCCAUUCAAAGGAAGUCUAAGGUGAAUAACCAUUGAUGAAAUUCACUACCAUCUGUUUUGCCAUUUUAAAGGAUUAAAACUUGAUUUGCUAAAUCCAUACCGGUUCGGGAAGCAAGCAUCACCAUAGUUGCAACCCCAACGCGAGGAGCCUAUCCUGAGAUUUCCAAUUUGCAUAAGAGCCAGAGCAUAGCUAUCCUAUCUUUGAGAAACUUGUUUUUACACCCUUUCAUUUUAGUCUUUAAUGUUAGCUUAGAUUAGUUUAAAUCUUUCUGAAAUAUUUACAUCUUUUUUUUAAAGCUAACAGCCAUAAGAAAAUCACCUAUUUUCCUAAAUUAAAUAUCACUUGUGUUUGCGAAAACCCUUCCCAGUGAACGAUCCUAGAACCACUAUGCUAUAGUAGCUUGGCUACUUUAGUAAUAGUAUUCAAGGUAUAAAUUUUGUUGAUACGCCUUUAAAGCUAAGCUACCAUGAGUCGCAUCAUGAAGCUACUUCAAGCUGGGAUCAUAUAUCCCAUCUCAGACAGCUGGUGGGUGAGUCCCACCCAAGUAGUCCCAAAGAAAUCUGGAAUCACUGUGAUCCAGAAUGAGAAAGGGGAGGAAGUCUCUACACGUCCUACCUCAGGAUGGAGGGUGUGUAUAGACUAUAGGAUGUUGAAUUCAGUAACUAGGAAGGACCAUUUUCCAUUGCCUUUCAUGGACCAAGUCCUUGAGAGAGUCUCAGGACAUCCUUUUUAUUGUUUUCUAGAUGGUUAUUCAGGGUACUUCCAAAUAGAAAUUGAUUUGGAAGAUCAAGAAAAGACGACCUUCACUUGUCCCUUUGGUACUUUUGCAUAUAGGAGAAUGCCCUUUGGUCUAUGUAAUGCUCCUGCAACUUUCCAAAGAUGCAUGCUAAGCAUCUUCAGUGAUAUGGUGGAACGCAUCAUGGAAGUUUUCAUGGAUGACAUCACUGUAUAUGGAAGUUCUUAUGAGGAGUGUUUGAUGCAUUUAGAAGCUGUUCUCCAUAGAUGUAUUGAGAAAGACCUAGUGCUAAAUUGGGAGAAGUGCCAUUUUAUGGUACAAAAAGGAAUUGUCUUAGGACAUAUCAUCUCCAAAAAUGGCAUUGAGGUAGAUAAGGCAAAGGUGGAGCUGAUUGUUAAGUUGCCACCUCCCACAAAUGUUAAAGGAAUUAGGCAAUUCCUUGGACAUGCCGGGUUCUAUAGGAGGUUCAUUAAGGAUUUCUCAAAAAUCUCAAAACCUCUUUGUGAACUCUUGGUAAAGGAUGCCAAGUUUGUGUGGGAUGAGAAGUGUCAGAGGAGUUUUGAGGAAUUGAAACAAUUCCUCACAACUGCACCAAUAGUCAGAGCCCCAAAUUGGAAAUUACCUUUUGAGGUAAUGUGUGAUUCAAGUGAUCUUGCUAUGGGGGCUGUUUUAGGGCAAAGAGAAGAUGGAAAGCCCUAUGUGAUUUAUUAUGCAAGCAAAACUUUGAAUGAGGCUCAAAGGAACUACACAACUACUGAGAAGGAGUUGUUGGCAGUAGUUUUUGCCUUGGAUAAGUUUCGUGCUUAUUUGGUAGGGUCCUCUAUAGUGGUGUUCACUGACCAUUCCGCUUUGAAGUACUUGCUAACCAAGCAAGAUGCCAAGGCAAGAUUGAUAAGAUGGAUUCUUUUGCUCCAAGAAUUCAAUCUCCAAAUCCGGGAUAAAAAGGGGGUAGAAAAUGUGGUAGCUGACCAUUUGUCCAGACUUGUGAUAGCACAUGACUCACAUGGUCUGCCUAUCAAUGAUGACUUCCCUGAGGAGUCUCUCAUGUCAGUAGAUGUAGCUCCAUGGUAUUCUCACAUUGCAAACUUUUUGGUUACUGGAGAAGUACCAAGUGAGUGGAGUGCUCAAGACAAGAGGCAUUUCUUGGCUAAGAUCCAUGCCUAUUAUUGGGAGGAACCUUUUCUUUUCAAAUAUUGUGCAGAUCAAAUUAUAAGGAAAUGUGUUCCUGAACAAGAACAAUCGGGAAUUCUCUCCCAUUGCCAUGAUAGUGCAUGUGGAGGUCAUUUUGCCUCCCAGAAAACAGCUAUGAAAGUGAUCCAAUCAGGCUUCUGGUGGCCCUCUCUUUUCAAGGAUGCCCAUUCUAUGUGCAAGGGAUGUGAUCGGCGUCAAAGGCUUGGUAAGCUAACACGCCGAAAUAUGAUGCCCUUGAACCCCAUCUUAAUAGUGGAUAUCUUUGAUGUCUGGGGUAUAGACUUCAUGGGACCAUUUCCAAUGUCAUUUGGACAUUCCUACAUCUUGGUAGGAGUGGAUUAUGUCUCUAAGUGGGUAGAAGCAACCCCAUGUAGGAGCAAUGAUCAUAGAGUGGUACUUAAAUUCCUCAAGGACCACAUCUUUGCAAGAUUUGGAGUGCUAAAAGCCAUUAUAAGUGACGGGGGAACCCACUUUUACAAUAAACCUUUUGAGACUCUUCUAGCCAAGUAUGGGGUUAAGCACAAGGUAGCUACACCUUAUCACCCCCAAACAAGUGGCCAAGUUGAGUUAGCCAACCGAGAGAUCAAGAAUAUAUUGAUGAAGGUGGUUAAUGUGAAUAGGAAGGAUUGGUCUAUCAAGCUCCUGGAUUCCUUAUGGGCUUAUAGGACCGCUUACAAGACCAUUCUAGGAAUGUCUCCCUAUCGCCUUGUUUAUGGCAAAGCGUGUCAUCUUCCAGUAGAGAUUGAGUAUAAAGCAUGGUGGGCAAUCAAAAAGCUCAACAUGGAUUUGACAAGAGCCGGGUUAAAGAGAUGUUUGGAUUUGAAUGAAUUGGAGGAAAUGAGGAAUGAUGCAUACCUCAAUUCAAAAAUUGCAAAAGCAAGAUUGAAAAAAUGGCAUGAUCAGUUGGUAAAUCAGAAAAAUUUUACCAAAGGACAAAAAGUUUUGCUUUAUGACUCUAAACUUCAUCUCUUUCCAGGAAAGUUGAAAUCCAGGUGGACGGGUCCUUUCAUAAUUCAUGAAGUGCAUCCCAAUGGAGUGGUGGAAGUAUUCAAUCCCACAGGCAAUCAAACCUUCAAAGUUGAUGGCCAUCGUCUCAAGCCAUUCAUAGAGCCUUACAGUACAGACAAGGAGGAGAUCAACCUCCUUGAACCACCACAACUCUGAUGGAAAGCAGGGUAUCAUGGGCUAAAUAAGUCCAUGAAUUUUUUGUUAUAGUUUUAUAGUUAUAUCAUUAUUUUUAUUUCUUUUUAUUAUAAUUUUUCCUCAAUCUUAGUUUAUUUUGUCUUAAUUCAAGUCAAUUUUGAUGAUAAAUUUCAGAAAAAAAUCAUGAAAGAUGGGGAGAACUCUUCAAAAGCAAGACAGGGGAAUAAAACCAAGGAAAUAGAGCACCUAAUUCCAAGGUGCGAAAAUUUCGCACACCCCAAAACCAAGGUGCGAAAUCCUCGGUCCAAAGGGAGCCAUUUUCGCACACCCCAAAACCAAAGUGCGAAAUUUUGUUCAAGGUGCGAAAAAUGAUUUCAAGGUGCGAAUUCCCUAAAAACCAAUUUCGCACACCACUGUGCAAGGUGCGAAAAUUUUCGCACUGUGCGAAAUCCCCUCCUGGCACACGAGUGCCAUUUUCGCACACCUCUAGCCACUUUUCGCACCGUGCGAAACAAGGUGCGAAAAUUUCGCACACCUGAUUUCAAGGUGCGAAAAUUUCGCACACCUCAUUUUAAGGUGCGAAAUCCUCAGUUAAAGGGGUGCCAUUUUCGCACACCUAAUUUCAAGGUGCGAAAUUUGCAGACCAAGGUGCGAAAAUUUCGCACGGUAAAAUUUUAAGUUCCAAAAAUUUUAAACGGACUUUUAAAUUAAAAUUUUACCCCCGAAAUUGUGCCUAACGUCCAAAAACGACUUUUCGGUUGCCUUGGAAAAUUUUAAAACAUCAAAAACCCCCUAAACCUCAUUCCUAUAUAAUCCCUUGAAGUCCAGAAGCUCAAAGGACUCCCCACAAUCCAGCUGAGAAGCCUCUGGAAUCCCGAACAGUCACCCACCUCCAUUUCGGCCAUGGCGAAGACCAGAGGAGGCCUUUCCGGCUCCCCAUCCUCACCGACACCUCGACCACAUCGAGCCGCCAUGGGAGCCGCAGCUUCGCCACCUGUUCAGGCCCCGGCCAUUCCCCCAUCUGAGGGGGAAGCCCCUUCUCAGCGCCGAUACCCCACCAGGAGACCACCCACGGACCCUGUGCCACCCGCCGAUCAAGCUCAGAGACCUGCUUCUCGGCCCCCUGCCAAGAGAACCAAGUUCUCGGGUCCUGGAGAGUCAUCCCAUGCGCCUCAGGCAGAGCCGCCUACAGAGGAGCCUCGGAUUCCCAUGAUAGCCGGACCACCGAUAGAGGGCAACUUGGAUUGCAGAGAUCGAUCAUUUCACUCCGAGACCUACUUUGAUAUAGAGGCCCUCAGACAGCAGCCAGAGCUCAGAGAUUCAUUCCGACUGCUGCAGAGGUAUCACAUGGAGGAUCUUCUCACUCCUAGGCAAUUCUACUAUCCCAGAGUAGUUAUAGAUUUCUAUCAAUCUAUGACUACUCGAGGCCUCCGCAAUCCUACCCUCAUCCAAUUUACCAUAGACGGACGCCAGGGUGCCAUUGGAGCUCGCCACAUUGCUGAGGCCCUCCGUAUACCUUAUGAGCCUGUGAUUCAGGCAGAUUUCAGGGAGUGGUCCUCAUUCUCUCAGAGCGACAUGGUCCGUAUUUUGUCCAGGGGGACUUCUACAGCCUCAGUGUUGACUAGGAGAGAGCUUCCAUCUGGGAUGCUCCUUAUUGAUGUGCUCCUGCGUGCCAACCUUUUCCCCCUUCAGCACAAAGUUCAGAGGCGAGGAGCUAUACUUGAGGCGUUAUUUAGGAUUUCUGAGGGCUAUUUUUUCGGCCCUCAUCAUUUGAUUAUGACUUCUCUUCUUCAUUUUGAAGAGAAAGUCCAUCAGAAGAAGCUUCAAAGGGCAGAUGGCAUCCCAUUACUAUUUCCGAGGCUCCUCUGCCAGAUUUUAGAGCACCUGGGCUAUCCUGAACAGCCCCGUCUUGAGAGGCGCCGCCAUUGCCGAGAGGACUUCUCUCUCGACAAAUGGCAUCACUUGGUAGCCUACUUUGCACCCCAGGGAGCCCCAGCUGUGCCUGCACCUCCAGAGCUACCCCAAGAUGAGCAGAUGCCUCAGGCCCAACAGGAUGAGAUUCUCACAGAGACCACACCUCCUGCCCCUGCAGCACACCCCUCAGAGCAUAUUCCUGAGCCUAUACAUCCUAUUUCUCCUAUCACUUUGGGUGCUCCACCAGUCAUGCCAGCUACCCCAGCACCUCUUCCUUCAUCUAAGCCCACUGUCACCGUUUCUCUUACGGAAUUCAGAGGCUUAGAGCGUUCAUUGCGGACACUGAGCACUGCUCAGGAUUCUAUUAUCCACCAGAUGGCCACUAUUCGGGCCCACCAGGAUCAGAUCAUUGCUACUCAGGCCCAGCAUACCACGAUCCUUCAUCAGAUUCAGCAGCAUUUGAGUUUGCAGACACCUUUUGGGCAUGAUAGGUCUGCACCAUCCGAGCCUCUAGAGCCAGAUACAGAGAGCUUACCAGCUGAGCAGCCCAUACCAGAGGAGGAGAUCAGAGCAGAGCCAUCACAUGACACCCCUCAUAUUUGAUAUUUUUAUAUUUUACUUGUUUUUUAUUUUAGACUUGUAAAUCCCAUCUUUUGCAUGUGUUAUAAACUGGGAUUGGAAGUAUUACUUGAAAUCAUACAUUGUAUAUUUCUUUUACAAGUAAUAUAUAUAUAUAUAUAUAUAUAUAUAUAUAUAUAUAUAUAUAUAUAUAUAUCCUUUUUGAUUAUAUUCCCUUUUCUCAUUACUCUUUUGUCCUUGGAACAUGUGGCUUAAGGUACUCCAUACCUCCUUUACACCCAGACUUUGUCUCACUCAGGAGGUACCACUUCCUCCCUUUAUUUUUAAUCGCUCUUGAAACAUUGAGGACAAUGUUCAACGUGGUUGGGGGGAGAGUUGAGAAAGGAAGUUUUGUUAUUAAUACUAAGUUAUUUUGGUAUUUUAGUUGAUUUUUGCUUAAAAUUUAAAAUUUUUAAAAGUUUUUUGAAUCAUUCUCUAUGGUUGUUAAAGAUAAUUUCUCAAAAAUAAAAUAGGAUAAGUCGAGUUUUAACUUAAUUAUUUAAGUCUUAGAGUUUGUUUUAUGCUUUCAAAGUUGAUAAUCUAUUGAAGCCUCUUUGAUUUCGAACUUUCUUCUUCCAUNNNNNNNNNNNNNNNNNNNNNNNNNNNNNNNNNNNNNNNNNNNNNNNNNNNNNNNNNNNNNNNNNNNNNNNNNNNNNNNNNNNNNNNNNNNNNNNNNNNNAAGUAUUACUUGAAAUCAUACAUUGUAUAUUUUCUUUUACACGUAAUAUAUAUAUAUAUAUAUAUAUAUAUAUAUAUAUAUAUAUAUAUAUAUAUAUCCUUUUUGAUUAUAUUCCCUUUUCUCAUUACUCUUUUGUCCUUGGAACAUGUGGCUUAAGGUACUCCAUACCUCCUUUACACCCAGACUUUGUCUCACUCAGGAGGUACCACUUCCUCCCUUUAUUUUUAAUCGCUCUUGAAACAUUGAGGACAAUGUUCAACGUGGUUGGGGGGAGAGUUGAGAAAGGAAGUUUUGUUAUUAAUACUAAGUUAUUUUGGUAUUUUAGUUGAUUUUUGCUUAAAAUUUAAAAUUUUUAAAAGUUUUUUGAAUCAUUCUCUAUGGUUGUUAAAGAUAAUUUCUCAAAAAUAAAAUAGGAUAAGUCGAGUUUUAACUUAAUUAUUUAAGUCUUAGAGUUUGUUUUAUGCUUUCAAAGUUGAUAAUCUAUUGAAGCCUCUUUGAUUUCGAACUUUCUUCUUCCAUUUCAAGCUUUACACACACUGUGCACAUUAGAUCCCGGAUAUAUGAUGUAAAACUUUCUCACCUUCUAAGCUUAGGAAAAUUUUGACUUGGUUCAUUACUUAACCUCUCUUUAAUAGUGUUGAGACACCUCAUAAAGACCAAUGAGUUUUUGAAAAAAAAAAUGAAAAAAAAAAAAAAAAGAAUAAGCUUCUAUUCUUUCCUUGAAACCUAAGCAUGAUCCGAAGGGGUGGCGAAAGCCUUUAAAACCCGAUGCCCUAAACCUUGAUUGGUUGGGAGUCAUCGAUCCUCUGCUUGCUACAUAGGUGAAUUGGUUAAGAUUAGUGAGUAAAAAGAAUUGUGAAUAAGAAGGUGCGUUCCUAACCUAUUAAGAGUUGAUUAAUUUUGCCAAUGUUCGAGAAAAGCUUAGGUUGGAGGGUGAGGAUAGUUGUAUAUACUAUAUCCGGAAGCUAAUCUCAUUAACACUUAGCUUAUUAUGGAAGAGUUUGAUUUGGAACCUUGAGAGUAGAGAUUCUUUUGAUACUUAAUUGCAUAAUCUCCACUCUUUGUACUUUUUGUUUAAGUUUUAAGCUUUGAUAACUCCUAUUGCAUUUUGAAUCUUCAUAUCUUUAGUUAGCCAGGUGAGAUGAGUUUGGAUAUCAGUCAUGCCUCUCAAUUAUUUUUUUUGGAAAUGAUUUGCAUGACUUCUUUUAUGUAUAUUAUUACGUUUGCUUAGUUUUUCUCUCCUUAAUUGCUAAGGGACUAGCAAUAUGUCGGUUGGGGGGAGUGAUUACUACUCAAAACAUGCUAUUUUGUAGCUUGUAAUUAGUUCUUUUAAACACCCUUGAGUAGUAAUUAUUACCUUUUAACCCAAUUAACAUGUUAGGGACCCUUGCAAUCGUUUCUAACAAUUGUGUUAAGUUUUGGUGCUUUUUGAUAGCUUUAUGCUCACCAAAGCAAUUUAAGAAUGAGGGAGAGCUAUUUAUAGUUCAUGGCAAAGCUUUUGAAAGCUUAAAUUUAUGAAGAAAUCAAGCUAUGGAGCCUCAUAACCCUUUGCCUUAUUCGUUCAAAGUAUACAAGGAAGAAACAAUGGAGAAGAGGAAAACAGGGGAUGAAAACAGGGGACACAGCUGCAGUCUUUCAUCGCACUUUUGGAGCACUUCCCGAAGUCCAUUUUUUACAUUCUAUAUACCAUUUCAAAGCUCAGAAAGUCAAGAAUCCAACGGUUCAAACCAUGUACGAUUUGGAGCUGAAAUGAGAAAGAUAUGGCCUUAGGAAGACAACUGCAUCAAGCUGAGGGACAAUUUCGCACACCACUGUGCAAGGUGCGAAUUCCUCAGUCCACUGUGCGAGAAUUUCGCACACCUCAAAUCAAGGUGCGAAAUUGGAACUCCAGCGUGCGAAAAUUGGAUAUUUUUGCCGACUCUUUUUCUUUUGAUAUUUUUGUGUCUAAAUUUCCAUUUUCUCCUUGUAUUCAACCACUCAUGUAAUUCCUUAGCUAGGAAGUAUCCAAGGAAGGGUAAAAUUACCUUCCUAUAUAAAUUCUCUUGUAAUCACUGAAAAGUAUCUUCGGAGCUUUCUCCAGGAGACCAACUGAUGUAAAUUUGAUACUUAGUGAAAUACAGAGAUCUCUUUUGCUUUCUUUUUCUCUCUUCUAUUUUCUCUUUUCUUGCAAGCCAAACACCCUCUGAGGAUGUUUUCCCAGAGGAUGAGAGGCUAAGCAUUUAGUUUCUUGGAGUAAAGGAAGCUGGGUGAAAAGUCCAGAUUAAAAGAUGGAAAGUUUCCGUGCAUUAAAUUCAGGUAGUUGGAGUCCAUAAAUGGCUUUUAAAGCCAAGGUUUUGCCUUAAAUCCCUUAGAAUCACUUUGACUGGCCAAUACAUGGUAAGCUUAAGGUCUCUGUGGAUGCUUAUUGCUAGAUCCAUAUCAGUCCAUUAGUUAUCAUGUACGAGCCAUUGGAAAGUGAUUCAAGGUGAUAGCCCAUAGUGUCUUAAGCCAUUAAUGGACCUUGACUACCAUCUCUAGUGACUUUUUAUGGAUUAAAACUUCAUUGUCAAACCUAUACCGAUUCGGGAAAUAACUAUAGGUUAAAUCCCCAAUGCGAGGAGAAAAAUCCGGAAUUUUCCACUUUGCAUCUGGAACUUGAACCUAGCAACCUUUAGCUCCGGGAGACUUUCUUUCUUCCACUUUUUACUUAGUUCUAUGUGAGUUUAGUUUAAAUCACCACUUUCAAAACAAUUUUAUGUUCUUUUAAAUUUCAAGUUUGUGCUAAAGGAAAUCAUCAGAAUCAAUUUCUAAUUUAGAGUCUGUCACUGAUAGAGUGAAAACCCAUCCCUGAGUUCGACCCUAGAACUGCUAUACUAUAGUAGCUUUGCUACGCCAGUAUAAGGUCAUAGGUUUUAUAAAUGUUUUUUAUUAAAAGACCGGCUGGGCAUCGAAUCAGCGAUGUGUCGCUUUGGGGUGUGUUUCCAGGCAGCCUGUCUUUUGGGAUCCCUAGGGUUUUGGUCCCCUAUAAAUAGGGAGCCCCUACACCCUUUGGAUUAUUUUUUUUUAAUAUUCCCGUUUUGGAGCUUUCUUUUCUGUCUCUACGUCUUCGUUGCUUGCAACGCCGAUCUUCGCUCGUUCUUCGUCGUUUUUGCUACCACUCUCAAGCUUGCUCCAGACGGAUUCUUCUUUGCUAACGGACGUUCUUCUUUGACCUUGGUAAGCUUCCCUUUUUUAUCAUUUCUCUUCUUCUGUUUGUUGUUCACUUUUGGGGUUGUAAUGGCGUUUGUUGAGUUUUAGAUGCAAAAUGGAUGUCACGACAUUUAGAUUCUAGGGUUUUUUUGUGUUUUUUUGGAGAAGAUGACUUGUAGUGUCUAUUAGACCUAGGGCUUCUCAUAUUUCCCCUUUUUGUUUCUUUAUUGUUGGUGGCCUAAGUAGUCCAUUUAGGCAUUUCGUCCUGUAACCGUUGUGGUGGCACGAUGGGGAAGACCUCUCUUGAGGCUAAGGCUUGCUCUGUAAGUUUUGUUAGACAGUCUACUCAAGUUUGGGCUUUAGAUCCGCUUAGGUUUCUUGUUGUACAACUAAGACACUACCUAACGGCAGAUGAGUCAGGUGAAUGUCUUUUAACAAUCUAUGUUGUCCCACGCAACCUAGAGCUUCUUAGUAUGUCAACCAGAUGAGGUAUCGCUUCCAUCAGCACAGGCGAUAGGGCCUAGAAAGGUGGCCGAAAGGGCGCUGGAGUCGGGUGCCCUAGGUCGGAGCGCCCAAUCGAUCUUCUAUUAGAACAGGAGUUCUGGGCUUGCUUCCAUAUUCUAGAUAGUGUUUCCAUCCUUUUGGUAGACAACAAGCCUCUGAGUUUUGAAAAGCAAUCCCACAACGCUACCUAUUUUAGCAAGGAGCAAUUUAAUGCGAGGCUUCAUUUUCCUCUGCCCUCUCUUUUCAAACAAUUCAUCUAUUUCACCAAGAUCCCUCCAGCCUUCCUUUAUCUCAAUGUCAUUUGGGUCUUGAUGGGAUGUAGCAUCCUAGACAUGCUUUACCAACUGGACCUCUCUCUGUUGGAGGUCCUAUUCGUUUAUAUAGUAAAGAUGAGCCAGAAAAAGAGGUUUAGCCUAGCCGCUCAUAUCCUCUCCCUCCAGCUAGUGACUGGGCUUCAAGGGUGGGGCGAAGGGACACGUCCUUGUUUCUGGCCCCUAGAGUGGUCCAUAUGAGGGGUCGGACAGAGAAUUCCACUCACGACGCUCGCUAGAGAUCCCAAGUAGGAUAUGUUCCUGUAACCUUUGUUUGUCCCUUGUAGUUGUUGGUUGUGAACCUGUUACUAAUAUUAUUGUUUGUGUGGUGCAGGUAAGAACAAGAGGGGUCGACUUGUGGAAUGGGUGGAGAAGGCUUCUUUUGCUAGGCUCAACAAAUUGUUUGAAAUAUCUACAUCCGAGCACAACUACCAGAUUUUUUUUAUGGACAAGAACUUGCAAGCGGUGCUGAAGGAAGCCAAGUCAUUCAUCCUCCCAAUACUCCACCGGUUGGCUCCCCGGUCCCUGGUGCCCGACAACCAUCACGUGUUGAAGGACCUACCUUUUAAUGAGGUCGCUUGCGCAACAAAUUCACAAGCACACCAAGACCGUUUAAAGCAAAAAGAGAAAAAAAAAAUCAGAAGGGGACGCUCAGGUAAGCUCCACCUACCAACUCUUCAGCCUCUAACUCCAACGUCCAUCCUCCUACCAAGAAGAAGAAGGGACAUGUCAUUCAGCCUGUUCAGAUGGCAAGGACGCUGCCAUCCGCUUUCCCAUCUUCUCCUUCCACUUUGUUUUCCUCUUCGUCUUCAUCUUCUUAGCCUACCAGCAUCGAGUCGGACAUAAGAGUUGAUCUGUCAACCGCCAACACCAAGCUGGAAAUAGGGGUUGAGUUGGUGGUGCUCCUCAUUGCUUGUGAAGAGGAAGAAGAGAAGGACAUGGUUGCAAACCUGAGGAUCGAAUUCAAGGAGAGGCAGCAUAAAUGCCUGUCCGAAUCCAUUACGGUCGUCUCUCCUCCCUCUAAGAGGCCCUACUCGGAGCCUCUCUACCUAGAGCCUGUGUUGGCCAUUGCAUCGGCACUAGCACCCUCGACGGCUAUUGCAGGCAGCAAUCUUGAGUUGGAGAGAGGCUUCUCUUAGUUGGAGCUGCUCACCAAGAGCCUGGGAGGCCCUUAUCCAACUCAGAACACAUCAAUGAUGACUCCAUUGAGUGCGUGGCUUCCGUCCCUUCUCAUUCCUAGUCGUCUUGCGCCCCAAAUCGGGAGGAGAUAGCUGAGCUGAUGAGGCAGAUUCCCUCCUUUACCGAGAGGGCGGUUCCCGUGCAUAACAUGGGAGUGCUAUUCUCGGCUACUCGGUGGACUUAGAGAGUGACCUCAACCUUUCCUCUACAACCUGACUUCCAUUCAGCACUCCGAACACUGUCGUUUCUCGCAUCCUGCCCAUGCAAGAUUACAUUACUUUCGAGAUAGCUGAAGUGGUAAGUCGUUUUCCUCUUACAUUCAUGUUGCCUUAGUCAUUUGAUUCCUUAAUAACUUUCCUGUUGCCUUCUCAAGUGGUGGUUAGCGUCCUGAAUCUGAUGCGACAGCGUGCUCAGCUCUUCAAACGGUUGGAGGCUACCGAGACUAUGAGGACAUAUAUUACCCACAACAUGGACGACAGUGAAGAACUUUGUGCUAAGCUAGAAUUGGUAGAGGACAAGCUUAUUGCUGCUUGAAAAAUUACCGAUGAAUGGGCCAAGUUACGGAGAAAGGUAGAAGAAAAGAAAGAGGCAGUCAAAGCUGAGGCUUGCUUGCUAGCGGAGGAGAGAGAGGUGAUGGAAGCUGGCAAGAAGAAAGACUAAGAGAAGGUCGAACGACUGAGAUAGGAGCUGUAAGAGUUCCAAGCGAGGUUCGUCGUUCAGAAAAAAGAGAUAAAGAUGGAGUACCAAAGCAGGUAGAUGACAUGUUCUUCUAUGGCUAUCGAUGUUGUAUGAAGAAACAUGGCAUCACCCAAGACAUUCCCAGCUAUCCUUCGGAUGAUGAGGACGAAGUUGCAGGCAACCCUACCCGAGGUGAAGGAAAUGCUUCUACAGCCAAUCCCUCUUGCGAGCGUGCUUGACUCUGUCUCUUUCUAUGUACUUUUCUUUUUCCUUUUUUCUGGCCGGAGAUGGUCCGAACGAAAAUUGAAAAGACAAUGAACAUUCAUAUUUUCAAUAUAUAUACAUAUACACUUUUGUCUUUUUUUUGUUCUUCUCAUACUUUACUUUCAUAAGCAAGUUUUAUUGAUAGUACUGCUUUAGGUUGGAUACAUUCCAAGGGCAAAGUAGGGAUACGCCGUCCAAUGUUUGGAGAUGGUAUGCCCUUGAGUCCCCAGCCUUAGCCACAACAUAGGGCCCUUCCCAAUUAGUCUGAAACUUCCUGGCCUCUACUUCAGCCGUGUUCUCGAAGAAUUUUCUGAAGACUAGGGUUCCGGUCCGAGCCAGGCCAUUUUGUUGUAAUGAGCAAUAGUUCUCUGGUGAUAGGAGGUCAACUGGAUAGUUGUGUUUCCUCGUACCUCAUCUACCCAAUCCAACUGCCUUUCGAGUUCUUCAUUGUCAUCUCUUUGACCUUGCAUGGUCGUUUUGGUGAUGGACAUGCCUAUAUCAAUCGGAAUAACAACUUCCAUUCUAUAGGCAAGGUUGAAGAGGGUAGCUCUUAUUAGUUGUCUAAAUGUUGUCCGAUACGUCCACAGAGCUUCGAGCAGUUCAUCUACCCAUUUUCCUUUGACUCAUUCUAGUCUUUUCUUUAAUGCAGUUAAUAAGGUCUUGUUUGUUGCCUCUGCUUGCCCAUUGCUCUGAGGAUAAUAGGGUGUUGAAUAUAGGUUCUUAAUGUUUAACUCUGUACAUAAUGUUCUAAAAGCGAUAUUGUCAAAUUGUGGCUCAUUGUUUGUUACAAUCGCUUGUGAACUCCAAACCGGCAUACGAUGUUUUUCCAGAAAAACUUGGAGACACCAUUGUCCUUGCUGAAAUAUUCAGUUGCUACAAGCAUAAACUUCUUUUGUGUUGCUGCAAUGGGUAAGGGGCCGACUGUAUCCAUCCCCCAUUGUGUGAACAACCAAGGGUUUAUGACCGGAUUGAGAACUUCAGAAGGCACACGGGGGAUGGGAGGGUACCUCUAACACCGAUCACAUUUCUUAACAUAAUUUUUAGCAUCUUACUUCAUUGUUGGCCAAUAGUACCCUUGCGUGUGCAUGCGAUGUGCUAGGGUUCGUCCUUGCCUCAUACGCCUUUGUGUAGUUCGGCUAGGACAUACUUAGCUUUCGGAUCGCUUAAGCAUCUUAGGUAUGGUCCUCCAAACGAUCGUCUAUAAAGACGUUCAUUGAUUAGAGUGAAACGGGCGGAUUGUAUGCAGACUUUGUGUGCAUGUUUCUCAUUCUCUGGUAGUUCUCCCGCCUUGAGGUAUUUCACAAUGUCGUGCAUCCAGCCGGGGUCCGUCUCAGUAGUACUAAAUAUUUGCUCUAGUGUGAUCGAGGAUAUGGCUUGGAGGUAGACAAGCAGCAUGACCGCUUCCUUAUAGAGAGAGUGACAGUAAUUCUGGCUAAUGCGUCAUGGUUCAAAUUCUCUAUCUAGGGUACCCAUAUAACCGUCCAUUCGUCUAGCUUUUUCAAGCGAUCUUCUACUAUGGUGAGAUAAGGAGCCAUUCGUUCAUCCUUUGCUUCAUAUUCUUUCUGAAUUUACCCAACGAUUAGUUGGGAGUCGCUACAUAUUUCCAACUUGGUUGCAACCAAAGUAAGGACAAGGCCAAGUCUAGCCAAGAUAGCCUAGUACUCUGCUUCAUUUUGAGUAGUAAUCACUCCCCCCAACCGACAUAUUGCUAGUCCCUUAGCAAUAAAGGAGAGAAAAAUAAAAAUAAACAAUACUAUAAUUUACAACAUCAUGCUGAUCAAAAAACAAUUCUCAAGUGGCAUGAUGAUCUAACUCUCACAUGGAACAUUAAAGAAAUAAAACUCAAACUUCAACAAGAGUUAUCAAAUAACUUGUCUAAUCACAAUUCUUAAAGAGAAGGCAUUAUGCAAAUUUAAGCUUUAAAAUCAUUUCCACUUCCAAAGGAUCAAACCUUACUCUUCCACAAAAAUCUAAGUGUUAUUUAUUAGUUUCCGAAUAUAGUAUGUUAAACUAAUCUCUCCCCCCAACCUAGUUCUUUUCAAAGCUUAGCAAACUAAUCAACCUCCAAUAGGCUAAGAACGCACCUUUUUUCUUUCACAAUUUUUUUCUUGUAGGAGUACAAGGCUUAAAGGUAUUUUUUUUAUAAAUUGUCCAUGUAACGGGGGUCCAUCGAUGACUCCCAACCAAUUAAGGUUUAGGGCAUCAAGUUUUAAGGAUUUUUCAACCACUAACUCCUCGGAUUUCACCCCGGACUUUUGAGAAUGAAUUUUAAUACCCAAGCACCUACAGUAUGUUAAACUCCACCUAUUCACCCUUGUAACGAGCAUUGAGGUCGGUGACUCCCAACCAAUGAAGGCUUAGGGCACCAGGUUUUAAAGAUUUUCACCAUAUACCCCUCAGACCUUGCUCGGGUUUCAAGGCAAGCAAACAUUUUUUUUUUCUUUCUUUUUUCUCUUCAAAGACUCAUUGGCCUUUUAUAAGGUGUCCCAACACUAUUAAAUGAGGUCAAAGGUACCAAGUCUAAAAUUUUCCCUAAGUCAAGAGGGAAAUAGUUUUUCAUCUUAUACUCGGAACCUACUGUGCACAGUGUGUGGAUAGCUUAAAGUGGAAGAACUAAGGUUGACUUCAAUAGAAGUUUCAACAAUUCAUCAACUUUAAUAAGCAUAAUACAAAAUCUAAGUCAAGUAAAAAGACAAAAAUUCAAUUUCUCCAAUUUUAGUUUGAAAAUUUUUCCUUAAUAACCAUGGAGAGUAGAAUAAAAACUUUUAAAAAAUUUUAAAAUUAAGCAAAAAACAACUAAAUUACCAAAAUAACUUAGCAUUAUUAACAAUACUUACUUCCUCAACUCUCCCCCCAACCAAGCUGAACAUUGUCCUCAAUGUGACAAAAGCGAUUGAAAAAUAGGGAGGAAGUGGUACCUCUUGUAUGACAUGGAGUUUGAGUCGUAUAGGAGAAACCACAUGUUUCAAAGAAAACAUAAGAGUUAGUGAGUAGAGGAAAUAGAAAAAUGCUAAGUUUAAACAAAAAAUGAUGUCUAUGUAUGAUGUAUCAUCAGUAAUACAUCCAAUCCCAAAAUAUAAGACAUCAAAACAUGGAGCUAUCUAUACUAAUAUAAUAUGUAAAGGCAAAAAGUAAAGAGAUGAUCAAGUAAUGGUAAGGUCCUGUGGAGCUGAUGCGUCUGUGGUAGUUUCUUGAAUGGGUUGGAUCAGGACUUUGGCCUCUGUUCUGGUAGUCUCCUUAGGUGGCAUAGUCUCCUCAACUGGAGCUUUCAGUUGGUAGCUAUGGGAUUUGAUGGUUUUAGGAGGUCAAAAAUGGAGUGAGAGGCUUGGUGUGUGUGAUCCCAGGGUGUGCGGGGCUCUCCUCUUCAUAUGCAUGGUUGCAGGGCUCUGAUGGCAUUUUAACAACUUCCCUUGGCUUUGCAAGGUGUUUUUGUAAAUCACCCUCCAUUUCACAAGUCAAUUUCGCAAUUUGAUGGCCAUUUCUAAGCUUGGAGGUGAUUUCGCAACCAUAUCAAAGCUUGGAGAUCAUUUCGCAGAAAAGUGGCAUGUUCACAGACCAUUUUUGAAGCUUGGAGCAUUUUCGCAGCCAUUCUGAAGCUUGGAGAUCAUUUCGCAUCCAUUUCAAAGCUCAAAAGUGAUUUCGCAGCUCAAAAUUGAUUUCGCAGCUCAUUUCGCAGCUCAAAAGUGAUUUCGCAACUGUAUCGCAGCUUCGAAAUGAAGGGAACUAUGCUGCAAAUGGCACUCGUGUGCCAAAAGUAGUUUCGCAGCUGCGAAACACCCUUCCAAAUGGCGUCUCGGCUGCGAAAUUCUCGUUCAGCUUUGCGCGCUUGUCUUCAAACGACCAUAACUUCUUCAUUUCACCUCCAAAUUGCAUACCGUUUGAAGCACUGGACUCCUGACUUCCCAAGCUUUAAAACGAGAUAUCGUAUGCAUAAUUUGAGCUCCAGGAAGUGCUUCAAAAAUGUGUCCAACAGUAGCGAAAUGGAGGUGCGACAUUUCCGUUCAUGGUUUGCACAGUCAUCUUCAAACAGCCAUAACUUUUCUGUUUCAAAUCCAAAUCAAGUACCGUUUGAAGCUGUGGACUCAUGACUUCCCAAGAUUUCAAAUGAGAUAUUAUAUGCAUAAUUUGAACUUCAGGAAGUGAUCGAAAUGUGUCCAACAAUUGCCGAAAUGGGGGUGCGGCUGUGAAAUUGGGAUUUUUCACUUUUUGGAACUUCGCAGCCGUUUCGCAGCUGCGAAAUGGGAGUCACUGUGCUGCGAAAUGGCACUCGUGUGCCAAAACCGGCUUCGCAAUUGCGAAAUACCCUGCGGAAUGGGACUUUUGGUGCGAAAUCAGGCUUUACCACUUCGCAAUGCGUUUCGCAGCUACGAAACAAAUGCUCCUGUGCUGCGAAGUGGCACUCGUGUGCCAAAAAUGGUUUCGCAGCUGCCAAAUCCUCUGCGGAAUGGAGCUUUCCCUGCGAAAUGGAGGUUUUCAUGCUUUGGUGGUUCGCAGUCGCUUUCGCAGCUGCGAAAUGGGGGCUCCUGUGCUGCGAAGUGGCACUCGUGUGCCAAAAGUGGUUUCGCAGCUGCGAAAAUUUUCGCAGAGAGGGCAAUUGGGCUGCGAACUGGUUUCGCAGCAAAAUUUCGAUUUCGCAGAGGCUACGAAAUCUCGCAGACCCCUGUUUUUCUCCUGUUUCUCCCCUGUUUUCGCUCCGUUUGACUCCGAUUUUGCUCCGAUUUUUUUUCUUCAAUUUCUUUGCAAUUUCUCUUGAUUUUGAUCAUCCAAAAACCUAUAUUACAUCAAAACAAACUAGAAUUAAAGCAUUGAAAUCAAAAUUAAAGCAUUGAAAUCAAAAUUAAAACAUUGAAAUCAAAAUUAAAACAAGUAAAAAAAAACAAAACAAAAAGAUAUGGACUAGCUAGUCUUUAAAAAGACUAAGUCCAUCAAAAAAUUUGCUCCUGAUUUAGCUUGCCCGGAUCCCAUAUGAAGUUUGCAUCCCUCACUUGGGGCUUUCUCUGUAUGAUUUUGCCAUACAAAGCUUCGAGAAAAGGUGGAAACAUGUGUUUCUUCAUCAAUUCUUCCUUGAUGACUAUCCUCUGUGGUUCUUCAUGUACAUUAACAGUAUAGCCAUCUUUCUCUAUGCUUUUCCCCUUUUUCUUUCCUUUGAUUUCCUCCCUCUUUUCUUUCUCUGUUUGACUCUCUACCUUAUGCUCUAGCUUGCAUGUGGGCAGAUCAACCUCUUUACCACUCCUCAGAGUGAUAACCUCUUCAACUUCCUUCACCAUUGAAGAUUCUCCCUCUGGAGCCUCCACUUCAUGGAUGCCCUUGGAAUUUUGAUAAGGUUGAGAAGGAUAGUUUUCUUUCUCUUGCACUGUGUUGAGGUUGGCAAGCCUUGAGAUUGAAUCUUGGAGAAUAUCUAACUUUUGGGCCAUAUCAUUUUGCAUUUCAUCCAUCCUUUUAUUCAAAGUACUCUCCAUUCUGUCAAUUCUUUGAUUGAGUUGAGCAUUGAUGGCUUCUUGCUUUCCAACAAAAUCUCCCACGACCUUGCAAAGAUUCAGCAUAGCUUGUUCAAGGUUUGAGGCUUGCUGUGGUGCUUGAGCAGGUUGCUGAUACUGAGGUGGCUGUGGUUUCCAAGAGAAAUUUGGAUGGUCCCUCCAAUUGGAAUUGUAGGUGUUGCAAUCACCAAACAUUUCCCUCUCCGUUGGAAUGAUAGGACACUCUUCAACCAAGUGCUCAUAAGAUAGACAAAUGGCACAAGGCAUAGCUUGCAAUGGUGUCUGAGAGAUGGCUUGCACUGGCUGCAUAUUUGUCAUUUCUAGCUUUUCCAAUCUCCUUUCCAUAGCUGCAAUCUCUGCCUUCAUGUUCAUACCAUCAUUCAAAAUAUACAUCUCACCCUUAGCUUUAGGUUGAGACGUCAUUCUUCCCAUAUCUCGAGCAUUUGGUUCAUCCCAUCCUCUUGAAACUUCAGCCACAUAACUCAUGAAGUUCAUGACUUCCUCUGCUAUCUCGUAAUCAAUAUAGCAUGCACAACUAGCAAUUUGUGAAUUAAAAACAGAGAACACAAAAGAAAACAAAAGAAAAACACUUCAAAGAAAGAAAAUUAAGGUAAACUAAAAACUAAAUAAAAGGUAUACUAAAAUAUGAACAAUAAAGAAAUAAAAAGAGUUAGUUAAAGGAAAAGAAAAGUCACCAAACUUGUGAUGAAGAUCACAAGUACUCUGAAAAGGUGAUAUCACUGUAAAGUGGCACCAUCCCCGGCAACGGCGCCAUUUGAUUCGUCCCUAGCAGCGGCAGUGGCAAUGGCACCAUUUGAUUCGGGGUUCGAUCCCCGGCAACGGCGCCAUUUGAUUCGUGCCCACUUGGUGUUUCAGCUGAUUCGUGUCCAGCUGGUGCUCCUUGAUUGAGGGAGUGAUCAACAAAAUUUAUAACCUAUAACACCAUAUACUAGGGUAGCAAAGAAAAAGCUACUAUAGUAUAGUGGCUCUAGGAUCGUUCACUGGGAUGGGUUUUCACUUCACAAAUGAUAUUAAUUCAAAGCUGAAUUGGUGCCUUUUCAUUUCAAGGUUAGGUUUAAAAGAAAACAUAAUCUUUGGUUGAAAAGGUUGGUUUUAAGCUAACCAAAAAUAGUAACUGAUUUUAACUACAAAGAAAAGAUGUUUCUUGGAGUUCAGAUCACUAGGCUCAAGUUCCUCAUACAAAAAUGAGAGUUCCGGUCACUUGUUUCUUUUCCUCGCAUUAGAGAAUUAACAUAUAGUUCCUUCUCCAACCGGUGUUGUACAGAUGCUUCCCAUUAAUGGGUUCAAACAUUAAAUCCCUCUCACUGAUGCACUUUGCAAUGGCUCAUACCUCUCACCUAGCACUUGCCAUUCAAGGUGAUCUUUAACCUUGGAUUACCCGUCAAAAGCUCGCAAGAGAUAACUAAUGGAUGUCUCCUUGGAGUCCAAAAGCUUACCAAGUGUUGGCUAUUCUAGAAAAUCCUACCUUCAAGUCACCUCCCAAAGGCUCGCAAGGGGUAAACUAGUGCAUUUCCAUGGUUGGAAAUCACUUGCCUUACCAAGUGUUGGCCCAGGUGACUCUAAGGUGUUUUAAGUUAACUAAAAACAUAGAAAUCACUAACGGGUUACACUUUCUCUUCAUUAAAAACUAAAACAACAAAACUUCCAAAUUAUGCAUGUGGAAACUUACCCGGCUUUCCUCACUCCAAGAGACAAAAAACUUAGCCUCUCAUCCUCUGAGGAAAAAUCCUCAGAGUUUGGUUGGCUAGAAAUAAAAAGAAAUGAAAAAUGAAAGAGAAGGAAAAACAGAGCAAGGCUCUGUAUAUUCUAUAUAUUGAUCGAUGGAUUACAUAUAUGAUUGAUGAUAUGAUUACAUUGGAUGCAAGGGAAUAUAUAUAGAGGAGUUUUUCCAACCUUCCUAGCUAAGAAAUCUUAUGGUUGGUGGCUUACAAGGAGAAGAAUGGAAAUUUAUACAAAAAUAUCUGAAGAAAAAUAUCCAAAAGAGUCGGUGCAAAAAUAUCGGGAAGCACUAAGGACAUUUCGCAGGUGAAAAUGGUGUCUGCGAGAUUUCGCAGACACUCAAGAGGGCUGCGAAAUAUUUUCGCAACAACAAGUUAAACUCGCAGGGCUGCGAAAUUGGCUUCCACCUUGAGGUUCUCAGAGUUCCAGCUUGCGGCAUGUAUCGGGUAGCUUCAGGAGGAAUUCCAUAGCACUGUACAAAAAGGCUGCGAAAUUCUCGCAACAAAAGGCUGAUUUCGCAACACUUUGGAGUGAUCUGCUUGCAAUGGCUGUAACUCCUUCGUUUCAACUCCAAAUCGCGUACCGUUUGAAGCAUUGGAUUCUUGACUUCCUGAGCUUUGAAAUGGUAUAUAGAAUGUAGAAAAUGGACUUCGGGAAGUGCUCCAAAAGUGCAAAAGAAGACUGCAGCUAGCUUUCCUCUGUUUUCUUCACUCUGUUUUUCCUCUCUCCUUGCAUACUUUGAACGACUUUGGCAAAGGGCUAUGGAGCUCCAAAGCUUGGUUCUUCAUGAAUUUGAGCUCUUCAUUGCUUUGCCAUGAACUAUAUACAAUUCUCCCUCAUUCUUGGAUUGUUUUGGUGAUCAAAAAGCUAUCAAAACACCAAAACUUAACACAAUUUGAUUAGAAUUGAUUGCAAGGGUCCUUAACAAGUUAAUUGGGUUAAAAGGCAAUAACUACUACUCAAAAGUGUUUAAAAGAGUUAAUUACAAGCUAUCAAAAUAGCACUUUUUGAGUAGUAAUCAGUACUCUGCUUCAUUGUUAGAGGCAAAAAAGCUGAGCUAGAUAGCUUGCUCUAACAAUUCUCCAGUUGGUGAUUGUAGGAUCAAACCUACUUUGGAACUGGAAACUCUAAACAUUCCGUCCACAUAAAGUGUCUACCAUCCCUCCCCAAGGAACUCAUCUAGAUGUGAUGGUUUGUGGGGGAGUUCAACCAUAAAGUUAGCCAUGACUUGUCAUUUCAAUGCUAAUAUUGGUUGGUAUUUGAUUUUGUACUCACUCAACUCAAUGGCCCAUUUCAACAUUCGUCCGGAUAGAUCUGGCUUGUAUAAGGUGCUUCAGAACAGUUGAUUUGUGAGUACAGUCACUUAGUAAGCCUAAAAGUAAGGACGGAGUUUCUGGGCUGUGUUUUUCAGGGCUAAGGUCGUCUGCUCCAUUCUGGAGUACCGAGUUUCUGCGUCUACCAUUGCUUUGCUCAUAUAGUAGACGGGUCUUUGCUCUUUGUCUCCUAUGUGUUGAAAUAGAACAAGACUGACCGCACAAUCAAACACGGUUAGAUACAUGUAGAUUUGUUCGCUAGACUGGGGGCUGCUUAGAAUGGGUGGCUUAGUGAGGUAGCGUUUGACUUCCUCAAAUGCUUGCUUGCAUUCAUCCGUCUAGCAAGUCAUGUUUGUCUUCCUAAUCGUGAGGAAGAAAAGCCUUAGCUUGUCUGUGAAACAGGUUAUAAAACGCCUCAACGCGGCCAGAUGACCCGUGAGGUGCUGUAAUUUUUAUUUUUUUUGCUACUCAGGGCAAGUGUUUCAAGGACGGCUCUUAUCUGAUUCGGAUUAACUUCGAUUCCACUUUGGGUCACCAUAAAUCCUAGAAACUUUCCCGCCCUAACACCAAAAGCACACUUAUCUGUAUUAAGUUUCAUGUUGUACGUUCUCAUUAGGCAGAAUCUUUUUCCUAGGUGUUGAGUGUGUUCGUCUCGGGUUAUGUUUUUCACGAAAAUGUCGUUGAUGCAAACUUCCACAGUUCGGCCGAUCAAAGGCUUGAAGAUUUUUAUCAUUAAUCUCUGAUAAGUAGCGCUAGCAUGCUUGAGCUUGAACGAAAUGACUUUAUAGCAGUACAACCCGUGUGGUGUCACGAAGGCUGUCUUUUCUUCAUUCGAUUAGAACAUGGGGAUCUGGUGGUAUCCAGAGAAAAUGUUUAUAAAGGAAAGGAUUCCAUGCCCGACGGUGGCAUCAACUAUUUGAUCUAUUUGGGGUAAGGGAAAAUUAUCCUUCGGACAAGCAUCAUUCGGGUUGGUGUAAUCGACACAAACUCGCCAUUUCCCACCAUUCUUUGGAACAACCACCACAUUUUCCAACCUGUUUGGAUACUCGACUUCCCUGAUAAAUUCGGCUGCGAGCAGCUUGUCAAUCUUCGCCUAGAUGAUCCUCUGCCUAUCCGGAUGGAAGUGUCGAACAUUCUGAUGAACGGGAUGCGAGGAAGGUAUGAUGUUGAGCCGGUGAGAGGCCACUGAUGGAUGGAUUCUUAGCAUGUUAGAAUAAGUCCAAGCGAAGACAUCUUUGUUCUACUGAAGCACGCUUUUGAGCAGCUUCAAUUCACUCGGCGUAAGAAGUGAGCUAGUAUAGGUAACUUGAUUUGUGUCAAGCGAAAGACACAAUGGUUGGAGUGGAUCAACCGCAUGUGGAUCCUUCUCUGUCGGGUUCAGUUAUUGUUAUUGCUUCUUUGCAUUUGAUGGUUCCGGGCGUGUCUCAUCGCUGGCUGGGUGUCUGGAAUCUAGCACCACUUGAUAGCAUUGGCGUGCGGCUAACUGACUGCCAAGAAGGUCGAUUUGUCCGCCCUCGAUGAGGCAACUCACCAUUUGAUGGUAUGAAGAGGGAAUGACUUUCAUACCAUGAAUCCAUGCGCGUCCCAUGAUGACGUUGAAAAUGGAUAAAUCCUCUACCACCGAGAAUUGCACGUUUAGGGUGACCGGGCCAACUUGGACGGGUAACACAACGUCGCUUAGAGAAGUUGUUGUGGCUCUGUUGUACCCAGAUAGUAGCCAUCUUGGGUUUUUUAAGGUAGACGAUGGGAGGCCCAUUUGCCUGUAGGUUGACAUUUGUAAGAGCUCAGCUGAGCUACCCGGAUCAAUUAGAACCCUUCUCACAUCAAACCCGCUUAUUCCCAGGGUUAGGACUAGGGUGUCUUCGUGUGGUUACAAUACUUAGUUAGCAUUUAUCAAAGGGAAGGUAAUUGUGUUGUCGAUAAGGCACAUACUUCCUUCUGGCAAGUUGUGCUAAAUGGAGCUGAUUCGUUCUCUUACGAAGGCCACGCGAAGCAACCUUUGCCUUUUCCAUUUGGAGUUGUAUUUAUCUUCAGCAGGGCCUUCGUGAAUGUAGUUGAUGACAACUCUGGGAGUUGCUGUAGUUGUGAGGGCUUGGACGACUAGAUCUCGAGUCGUCUCUCUUUGCCCGCCAGUUGUGUGAACGUAUUGUUUCAGGUGCCUUGCCCUGAUUAGUCUUUCCACUAAGUAGUGGAGACUUCUGCAUUGUUCAGUGGUAUGGUCAUGAUCUUUAUGAUAGGUGCACCUUCGGCUCCGAUCCUGUUUAGUCGGAUCCAUCUUGAUCGGCUCUGGCCACCUGAAAUCAGACAAAUCGCGGAUCAUUAAGAGGAGUUUUUCGUAUAAGAUACUGAGGGGGGUUAAACUAGCUUGAUUCGACUGCUGCUGGCUGUCCCACCCCUUAUUAGCUUGCCUCAAUUGGUUUGAGGGCUUAAAGUUUCUUGCAUGGUCGUUCUUGGUCAGAUGAUUGGUGACCAAGACCUGCUGAGUAGUCGACACGGAUGUAGUCUCCGAGCAAAAAGUGCUUAUUUGCUCGUUUGAACAAAUUGUCCAUCGUUGCUAACGACUUCUUCGCAAGAGACUCAAAGAACGAUGUACCCAGAUGAUGAUUUUCUUGAAGAUUUACAGGAUGGGGUCCAUGUUGUAAGACUCCACUUGGAGCACAACUUGUUCGAACCAUUUCAUGAAGUCUUUAAGGGAUUCGUUUUCCUACAUCUUGAUGUUCUAUAGGGUGCUUAUGUUCUACUUGUGGCGAGCUGAACAUAGGUAGUGUCCCACAAAGGCUUCCAGUAGAUCCCAAAAAUUGUUCACGGAAUUCUUCGAGAGGCAGUGGAACCACGAGAGUGUCUAGCCAUGUAGGCUGGUUGGAAAGACUUUGCAUAGUAGUGCAUCAUUCCCUAUGUCAAGGGUCAUAAGUUUCCAAUAGUGCAUGAUAUGAUUGAAUGGAUUGCUUGUUCCGUCGUAUGUCGUGAAUUUUGGUACUAUUAACCCCCUUGAGGGCUCAUAGUUAAUAAUGUGAGAGCCAAACAACGUGGAUAGCAUGUCAUCCAAUAGUCGGCUGACAGAGCCGGGUGGAGCCCAAUCUACUGGGGUCCCAACUUGCCAUUGUUUUGGGGGAUGGGAAGGCCACUCCAAGAUGUUUGUUGUGACUGAGGGACCCAGACUGGUCUCCAGGGUUUCUGCUACUCAUGGUUUUCCCCUUAUGCCCAGUGUCUGAGGUUCUAGUCGGGCUCACAUCGCAUCGGAUAGGCAUGACCUAUCGCACCUCCUUUUUGUUGACACCUAUGUAAAGUCUGAGCAUUCGUCCAACUUCACCUGGCAGUUGGUGAAAGUUUCUCCUUAGACCACAUCAUGUGACUGCAAGUGGGGAACUCUGCGUUCCCAGGGAAAGAUGCCUCGUAAGUACGUCUUAAGGUUGUUCGCUGGCUUCGGGGUUGCCGGCUUUGAGAGGGGCUCGCCGAUAACAUUUGGGCACGCAACUCUUCAUUUUCUUCAUUGAGUCCCUUUGUUUAGUAGAUCAAAGACUGCAUCUACUGGUCAUUUUCGCGUUGGCGUCUCUCCAUGCUUUCACGCCAGCUAAAGUAGCUCUCGCUACCCAUAGCUGAUGAUCGGCUUCUACAGGGUGUUGACAUCCUUAGUCGUUCCCACAUACGACACCAAUGUUGAUUAUGAGCCAAUUGGAAUCAGGUUCGUCCAGCUGUAUGAUAGUCAAACAACCUUCCUCCUUUCUUUGUGCCACUCAGAGAGUCUGCAUAGUAAUAAUAAAAUUGGAUGGACUCCUUUCCUAUACAAAAAAUGAUGUCCAAACAGGUGGUCUAGGCAUGCCCCUCCGAAGCCUAAGUCAAGUAAGAAUAGCUCAUGUUGCUUAGUGAGAGAGAGUGAAUAGACGUAUGUGAGCAUACCUUGUUUGUGCUUUUUGGAGGGUUUAUAUAGUGCUGAUAAGAAUGCCACUGUAGUGCUGACUAGGCACUAUGACUUUCUUCUGUAAUGAUGAUUGUCUUGCAGGCAGUUGGGCAAUCAUCACACCUUUGGGUGGCUAGCAUGUGCCAUUAAUUGACGUGUCAGGAUCUUAGACCAUGCAACCGCCUGUCCUCUCAACCUGUUGAUGGUCUGGGGUUAUAUGCAGCAAUUAAUUGACAUAGACUUGAGGGCUAUAAGAGGUCCCAUCGGCCGUUCACAUGUCAUGUGUGAAUGAUUACGCAUGCCAGCAGGUCUUGAAGAUUUGACUAGACAGUCCUACCUGUUAGGGGGGUCCGACCUCCCCUUGCCGUUUGACCCUAUAAAUGAAAAGGGUCUUCUCAUGCUUGGUGCCAAACGGAAUUGGGUGUGAUCUAGACAGGAUGAUCUAGACGGCUUGUAUACCUGUGCUAGACGGUUAAGGAGUUCAGGUCAAAAAAGAGACACGUGGAGGGAGGGGAGCCCCCACACCUAUUAUAUUGCUAUUACAAAAUUAUGAGUUUACAAGGAUAUCUCUCUUCGGUAGAAAUCAUAAGUGAACAUGAAUAAGUAUACAAGUGAACCGUUGUGAGCUAUAUCAAUCAAGAUGAAUUCAAGAAGUGGGCAAGUCAAAGUUGAUGCAUCGCAAGGGACUUCAAUUUCAAUGAUACGCUUAAUAGCUGUUGGAUGGAAAAUUCCAACCCAUAAGUAAUCAUUUGUUUGACCAUCUUAUUUCACGUGAUGAAUAAUAUGUGCAUAUUAUAAUUUAUAUGUUGGUUACACACCACAUGGGUUUCACUAUAAACAAAGAAAUCCAUAAAGAAAUAUUGAAGCGUCUCUUCUAAUUUAUCUUUAUUUAGAAGCCAACUCUCAUUAUUAUGAAUCGAUCUUGCUAACUUAAAAUAGUCUGAUUGCUGAACAUGAAUGUUAGGCAGAGUCUUAGGCACAUGUUCGUUAAAUAGUUUUGUUGUUCUAUAAAUACAUACAUUAGUGUUGCUGAAUGGAGGCAUUCAGUUAGGUCAAUGAGCAAUGGCAUCAUCGAUACCGUCUUCAAGCUUUGGCACUCCUCCUUCUAUACUGAGUAUUCAGGAGCUGGCCAAACAGCCCAUGGCUACAGUGCCACAAAUCUUUCUCUUGGAGGAUCAGGAGCGUCCCGUUCUCCGAGAGAAUGCUGCCCUGCCCGAUAUCCCCACCAUCGACAUGAAACGUUUGAUUAUGAGUGAAACCACAGAUUUUGAACUAGACAAGUUGCACUCAGCUUGCAAAGAAUGGGGCUUCUUUCAGGUUUUUCUCUGCAAUCUUCACUUGUUUGUCUACUCAUUAAUGCUAUUGCACUUGAAAUUUUAGGGUCUGUUUGGAUGAGCAUGAAAUCUGGUUUCAUUAAUCUGUGAAGACCAAGAAGUGUUUGUGCAUUAUAAUUUGUAUAAAGUAGACUCCCUUUAAUAGGGGCAAACAGACCCUUAUAUUUCAUGGACUUUGUCCUGUUUUUCUAAUAAGAUCAUAGAAACUAACAAUUGGGUUGAUGCACAGUUGGUGAAUCAUGGAGUCAGUUCUUCCCUUGUGGAGGACCUGAAACAUGAGAUUGUAGAAUUUUACAAGCUUCCCUUGGAAGAGAAGAUGAAAUAUAAGACGCCAGCUGAUGCUGAAGGAUAUGGGCCGUCUAUAAUCCGAUCAGAAGAUCAAAAACUUGACU
This 41115-nucleotide long non-coding RNA is filed under the name Vitis vinifera (wine grape). RNAcentral describes it as "long non-coding RNA (VVIN_LNC005419)". Lineage: Eukaryota; Viridiplantae; Streptophyta; Magnoliopsida; Vitales; Vitaceae. The record is from RNAcentral.